RNAcentral lists this small nuclear RNA (57 nucleotides) under Tropilaelaps mercedesae. RNAcentral describes it as "U5 spliceosomal RNA". It matches the Rfam family "U5 spliceosomal RNA", at positions 11 to 66 of the family's 117-position model. From Rfam's summary of the family: U5 RNA is a component of both types of known spliceosome. The precise function of this molecule is unknown, though it is known that the 5' loop is required for splice site selection and p220 binding, and that both the 3' stem-loop and the Sm site are important for Sm protein binding and cap methylation. Lineage: Eukaryota; Metazoa; Arthropoda; Arachnida; Mesostigmata; Laelapidae. The record is from Rfam by way of RNAcentral.
CUCCCAGCAUCGACGAAUAUGCGUUUCGCCUUUUACUAAACGCAUCCGUGCUGGGGG